Molecule: long non-coding RNA, 752 nt
Organism: Spinacia oleracea (spinach)
Lineage: Eukaryota; Viridiplantae; Streptophyta; Magnoliopsida; Caryophyllales; Amaranthaceae
Exons: 5
Source: RefSeq, a predicted model, not a curated record
UCAAACACACUGAAGUAGCGAUUAGAAAUUUGCUGAAGUAUUUACUUCAACCUCGUGUUUUGAAAAUUUCGGUAGAAUUCGAAGAUGAAAAAAACAUCUGGGGCAUAUUCAUGCGCUGGAAAGGAAGAUACAAUGGGCAUUCGUAGCUGAAAGUGAAACAGAAAGUAAAUGAAAAUCUCUAGCAAGGUCUCGAAUCGAAGUUAUCUUUGAAGAAAGCCUUGUGCGAUCAACUCACUAGAACCUUGCAAGUCUUGGUUUGCCAAGUUCAGGAUGUUGAUUGGUGCAGUGGGUUAUUGGACUACGACAAGUUAUGGAAGAAGCCUCCUAAUCGCGAUUUUUUUUGCCCUGUGUCGAGCCUACAAAGUUGUAUACACCUCCUUCAGAGUCAAAUCGUUACCUGCUUGUCCAUACUAAUGGCGGUCUUAAUCAAAUGCGGGUUGGGAUAUGUGAUAUUGUAACUGUGGCCCGAAUCAUUAAUGCGACUCUUGUGAUCCCUGAACUUGACAAGAGGUUAUUUUGGCAAGACUCAAAGGUAUUCAAUAAUCCGAGGGAGCCGCCAUUCACCAUUGAGGAGAUAAAUGAAGUUCGGGAAAAGUUGGCAAACUUCAUUACCAGUGAUUGUCUUUGAUAUUUUCUUGUACUGAAUCUUAUAUUAUGGAUGCUGGUUUUUCAUAUGAUUGUAAUGUAAUCGACUUUUAUAUUUACAAUUAUAUACUAUUUAAUUUAAUAUCUAUAUAAUUGGAUAUUUUUUA